Molecule: long non-coding RNA, 234 nt
Organism: Haliotis rufescens (red abalone)
Lineage: Eukaryota; Metazoa; Mollusca; Gastropoda; Lepetellida; Haliotidae
Exons: 3
Source: RefSeq, a predicted model, not a curated record
CAAUGCUUUUUAUUCAAAUAGAUAGGAGGGCCUAGAAAGGGCUUAUACCAUGGUCGGGAGAUACAGGUCAUACACCACUGUCAGGCUGUACAGGUCAUACACCACUGUCAGGCUGUACAGGUCAUACACCACUGUCAGGCUGUACAGGUCGUAACCACUGUCAGGCUGUACAGGUCAUACAUCACUGUCAGGCUGUACAGGUCAUACACCACUGUCUGGAUCUGGCUGUACAGG